GGAAUCUUCCACAAUGGACGAAAGUCUGAUGGAGCAACGCCGCGUGAGUGAUGAAGGUUUUCGGAUCGUAAAACUCUGUUGUAAGGGAAGAACAGGCAUGAGAGGUAAUGCUCAUGCUAUGACGGUACCUUACGAGAAAGCCACGGCUAACUACGUGCCAGCAGCCGCGGUAAUACGUAGGUGGCAAGCGUUGUCCGGAAUUAUUGGGCGUAAAGCGCGCGCAGGCGGCCUUUUAAGUCUGAUGUGAAAGCCCCCGGCUCAACCGGGGAGGGUCAUUGGAAACUGGAAGGCUUGAGUACAGAAGAGAAGAGUGGAAUUCCAUGUGUAGCGGUGAAAUGCGUAGAGAUGUGGAGGAACACCAGUGGCGAAGGCGACUCUUUGGUCUGUAACUGACGCUGAGGCGCGAAAGCGUGGGGAGCAAACAGGAUUAGAUACCCUUG
This 440-nucleotide ribosomal RNA is filed under the name uncultured Exiguobacterium sp. Its description in RNAcentral is "bacterial SSU rRNA". It matches the Rfam family "Bacterial small subunit ribosomal RNA", at positions 358 to 790 of the family's 1533-position model. The record is from RNAcentral. Lineage: Bacteria; Bacillati; Bacillota; Bacilli; Caryophanales.